This 468-nucleotide ribosomal RNA is filed under the name uncultured bacterium. RNAcentral's name for it is "partial 16S ribosomal RNA". It matches the Rfam family "Bacterial small subunit ribosomal RNA", at positions 28 to 507 of the family's 1533-position model. The record is from RNAcentral.
GACGAACGCUGGCGGCGCGCCUAACACAUGCAAGUCGAACGGAGUCAAGAGGAGCUUGCUUUUCUUGACUUAGUGGCGAACGGGUGAGUAACGCGUGAGUAACCUGCCCUGGAGUGGGGGACAACAGUUGGAAACGACUGCUAAUACCGCAUAAGCCCACGGAUCCGCAUGGAUCUGCGGGAAAAGGAUUUAUUCGCUUCAGGAUGGACUCGCGUCCAAUUAGCUAGUUGGUGAGGUAACGGCCCACCAAGGCGACGAUUGGUAGCCGGACUGAGAGGUUGAACGGCCACAUUGGGACUGAGACACGGCCCAGACUCCUACGGGAGGCAGCAGUGGGGGAUAUUGCACAAUGGGGGAAACCCUGAUGCAGCGACGCCGCGUGGAGGAAGAAGGUUUUCGGAUUGUAAACUCCUGUCGUUAGGGACGAUAAUGACGGUACCUAACAAGAAAGCACCGGCUAGCUACGUG